AUGCCGCCACCAUUGCGUGCUCCUGUGCUGCUGCUAGCCGUGCUGCCGUGCUCCUAUUCUGUGCCGCUGCUGAAUUUGAAGUUUUGUGUGCAGCAACAGAAUGAGAGGGAUACAUGCUUUACGGCGUACCAUUACCAUCGCGGGGAACGCCGCCCUGCUGCCGCUGGCGACAGCACUGGUUUCACACACUCACGGCCAUCAGGUUCCCUAUCCGAAGAAACAAUUUGCAGAAGCUGUGCUCGGUACCCAAAUCCGAAUGAUAUCCAACAAUUCAAGUGCUGCACCAGGGACAACAAAACUGAAGAAUCCUCGGGCCAUUCCCGGUCUGGAUUUUUUGCGGCGAUGGCCUCGAGCGACGCUGUGGUCAAUUGA
This 372-nucleotide ribosomal RNA is filed under the name Triticum aestivum (bread wheat). RNAcentral's name for it is "partial small subunit ribosomal RNA". Lineage: Eukaryota; Viridiplantae; Streptophyta; Magnoliopsida; Poales; Poaceae. The record is from RNAcentral.